UAAGGUCAAGCUACAAAGGGCGCAUGGUGAAUGCCUUGGCACUAGGAGCCGAUGAAGGACGUGAUAAGCUGCGAUAAGCUUCGGGUAGGCGCAAAUAGCCUGUGAACCGAAGAUUUCCGAAUGAGGAAACUCUCAUGGGUAACCCCAUGAACUGUAUACUGAAUUCAUAGGUAUAUAGAGGUAAACCCGGGGAACUGAAACAUCUAAGUACCUGGAGGAAGAGAAAGAAAAAUCGAUUUCCUUAGUAGCGGCGAGCGAAACGGAAAGAGCCCAAACCGGAAACUUGUUUCCGGGGUUGCGGUCAGAUCAUUAAAGCUUUAUAUCUUAACCGAAGAUUUCUGGAAAGUUAAACCAUAGAAGGUAAUAGUCCUGUAGGUAAAAAGAGAAAAAAGCCCGAUCUGUACCAGAGUACCACGAGACACGUGAAACCUUGUGGGAAGCUGGGAGGACCACCUCCCAAGGCUAAAUACUACCUAGUGACCGAUAGUGAAGAAGUACCGUGAGGGAAAGGUGAAAAGAACCCCAGGAGGGGAGUGAAAUAGAACCUGAAACCGUGUGUCCACAACCGAUCAAAACACGUUAAUGUGUGAUGAUGUGCUUUUUGUAGAACGAGCCAGCGAGUUACGGUAUGCAGCAAGGUUAAGCACUUAAGGUGCGCAGCCGAAGGGAAACCAAGUCUGAAUAGGGCGUAUAGUUGCAUGCUGUAGACCCGAAACCGGGUGACCUAUCCAUGGCCAGGGUGAAGCGGAAGUAAAAUUCCGUGGAGGCCCGAACCACAAUGGUGUUGAAAAACCAUGGGAUGAGCUGUGGAUAGGGGAGAAAUUCCAAUCGAACUCGGAUAUAGCUGGUUCUCCUCGAAAUAGCUUUAGGGCUAGCGCCAUGAAUGAGUACCGGAGGUAGAGCACUGAAUGAGGUAGGGGCUGACAACAGUUACCGAACUUUAUCAAACUCCGAAUGCUGGAUACUUGAAUCAUGGUAGUCAGACUGCGAAUGAUAAGAUCCGUAGUCAAAAGGGAAACAGCCCAGAUCACCAGCUAAGGUCCCAAAGUAUAGAUUAAGUGGUAAAGGAUGUGGGAUUUCUAAGACAACUAGGAUGUUGGCUCAGAAGCAGCCAUACAUUAAAAGAGUGCGUAAUAGCUCACUAGUCAAGAGAUCCUGCGCCGAAAAUGUCCGGGGCUAAAAUCUAACACCGAAGCUGUGAACUUGUACUUCGUACAAGUGGUAGAGGAGCAUCCUGUAUGGGCUGAAGUCGUACCGAAAGGAGCGGUGGACUGUACAGGAGAGAGUAUGCUGGCAUAAGUAGCGAGAACUAAGUGAGAAUCUUAGUGGUCGAAAACCUAAGGUUUCCUGGGGAAGGUUCGUCCGCCCAGGGUAAGUCGGGACCUAAGCCGAGGCCGAAAGGCGUAGGUGAUGGACAAUCGGUUGAUAUUCCGAUACCGCAGAGUAACGUUAUGAGAAAUGGGAUGACGCAGGAGGAUAGGAUAUGCGUACGUUAUUGGAAGUACGUCUAA
RNAcentral lists this ribosomal RNA (1511 nucleotides) under Clostridium acetobutylicum. RNAcentral's name for it is "bacterial LSU rRNA". It matches the Rfam family "Bacterial large subunit ribosomal RNA", at positions 1 to 1515 of the family's 2925-position model. Lineage: Bacteria; Bacillati; Bacillota; Clostridia; Eubacteriales; Clostridiaceae. The record is from RNAcentral.